UGGUUCUGGCAUCGAUGAAGAACGCAGCGAAAUGCGAUAAGUAAUGUGAAUUGCAGAAUUCAGUGAAUCAUCGAAUCUUUGAACGCACAUUGCGCCCAUUAGUAUUCUAGUGGGCAUGCCUGUUCGAGCGUCAUUUCAACCCUUAAGCCUCUGUUGCUUAGCGUUGGGAGCCUACAGCACCUGUAGCUCCUCAAAGUUAGUGGCGGAGUCGGUUCACACUCUAGACGUAGUAAUUCUUUCUCGCCUAUUAGUUGGAACUGGUCUCCCGCCGUAAAAACCCCUAUUUUAAAGGUUGACCUCGGAUCAGGUAGGAAUACCCGCUGA
This 324-nucleotide unclassified non-coding RNA is filed under the name uncultured fungus. RNAcentral describes it as "partial contains 5.8S ribosomal RNA and internal transcribed spacer 2". The stretch from base 1 to 133 matches the Rfam family "5.8S ribosomal RNA", at positions 22 to 154 of the family's 154-position model. The record is from RNAcentral. Lineage: Eukaryota; Fungi.